UAGUCUGUAUGCCUUUCACUUCCUUUUGUUGUUGUUGUUGUUGUUGCUGUUGUCGUUGUUUUUUGCCUUACUUCAUUGUCUAGACCUUACAGCACUGUGUUGAAUAAGAGUAGUGAGAGUAGACACUUUGCCUUCUUCCCAGGCUUAAGGAGAAACAUUCAGUCUUUCACCAUUAGGUAUGUUAGCUGUAGGGUGUUUUUUGUAGAUGUUCUUUAUCAAGUUGAGAAAGUGAUUCUUUAUUCCUAUUUUUCUGUGAGUUUUUAACAUGAAUGGGCAUUGAAUUUUGUCGAUGCUAUUUCCGCAUCAAUUUAUAUGAUCAUGUGAAUUUUCUUCUUUAGCCUAUUAAUAUGGUGGAUUCCAUUCAUUGAUUUUUCAAAUAUUGAAUCAGCCUGGUAUCCCCAGGUUAUGGCGUACAUUUCCUCCUGUAUUUAGCUGAAUUCUACUUGCUAAUAUUUCAUUAUUGAUUUUUAUGUCUAUAUUCACAGGGACAUUGAUCUAUAGUUUUCUUUUUUGUACUGUCUUUGUCUGGUUUUGAUAUCAUGGUCAUCCUCGUGUCAUACAGUGAAUUGAGAAGUGUUUUCCUGCUUCUUGUAUUUUCUGAUGGAGAAUGUACAGAGAUAGUGUUAAUUCUUCUUUAAACACUUGGUAGAAUUCCAGUGAAACCAUCUGGGUCUGGAGACUUCUUUUUUUGGGCGUUUUCAAAUUACAAAUUCAAUUUCCUUAACAGUUGUAGGCAUAUUCAAAUUUUCUAGUGCAUAUUAAGUGAGUCUUUGCGUUUUUCGAGGAAUUGGUCCAUUUUAUCUAAGUUGUCAAAAAAUGUGUUCUCAACAGCUUUUUAAAAUUCACUCUCCUCCAUUAGUUCCUCUCACAUUGAAAUAAGAUGCUGAUUCCCCCCACGCCUUCCCCACACUCAUUCAGGUCACAGAGCUGAUAAAUGACAAAAAACGGUAUUCUGUAUCUCAACCCAGAGCCCGCAUUCUGGACCCUCAGGCAGAGCCCAGGAUGGGGCAGGCUCCAUGUAAAUUCAGUGUUUCAGGGAACCAGCUGGCCUUGGGCAUCUCUAAAGUGUCCUGCAGCCCAGGGCUGGAGACCCUCUCAGUCACCUAAACCUCCCUGGAGGAAGGGAGGUGGGAGCCCCUUCCUCGAGAUCAGAUUUGGGAAGAAACUCUGGGGAGCCUGGGCACCACGAGGUGGCGCUCCGAACACACAGUUACCUGCAGCGGCCAGUGGUGGCUCUCAGAGGCUUAGUUGGGCAAGCCCGGCCUGGGGGGCAUUUUGUUCUUUCUGGGAGAUGAACUCUAGAGCCUGGAGCCUGCAAGGGCCCCAGGAGCCCUGGGCUGGUGGAGUUUGCCAACCCUUUCUCAGACUUCCCUGUGGACAGAGGCGUGAAGGCUUGAGAGGGUGGUGCUGGGGGGCGGCUGUGAGGUACAGAAGCACCAAAGAGCAGCUGGAGAGACUACGUCCACACUGAGACAAGGCCGGCCACCCAGAGCCUCUGUCUGCUUAGGAAGCGGUGAUAACCCAGAGCUGGGCCCGGUGCAGGGUGCUGAAGAAUCCACCUCGUUCCCUUCUGGGCCUGCCUCAACACCCUCCACCAGCUCCAGCCCCCUGCAGAGUCCCAGCGACCCCUCCCCCUCAUCAAGCAUACUCCAAGGCAAGAGUCCUCUGGAGUCAGCUGGAAGGUCCAAGAACUCCUUGGAUGGGAACCUGCACAUCCCAGGAGAAACUUUGGCAAAGACUGUGUGCACCUGAUUUGGGUCAAAAUGAAACAGCCAAGCUGAACACCGUGCCCUUGGGGAAUGACAAAUGGAAUGUUCUCAGAAGCUGCAUUUGAACAACUGAUUGGGAUCGUGACCGAGGUUAACAGUCCUUUGCAAUUUGAUAAAGGCAUGGGUUUGCCUGAUGCCGCCAUUUUAGUAAGCUUUGUCUGCUCUGCUUAGAAUGUACUAUUAUUAACACAUUUCAUUGAUUCUAAGAUGCAGUGCCCACCCCCUCCACACACGUUUUUAGCAGCUCCAUAAUCGGAAUAUGUCUUAUUGUCUUUGACACAAGGUCGUGACAUGGUUGUCAUUGCCUGACACCUUCUUUCAGAAACCCAGUGCAGCAGCCUUGAGAGAAACGCUUCCUCCUCACGCCAUCGAUUGCCCGGAGCGUUGACUUUGUGUUGAAAACUAUGAACAUUGACAACAUUGAGUUGAAAAAUCACUGAGAAGAUUUGGACUCUGGCAGCAUUUUGCGAAUAACUUAACCACUUGUUUCCGCUUUUUGCCUCUUUAGGCGCGCCCAAGGGUGACAUGUGAUAAAUCCACGCAAGUCACUAAAUAAAUACUUUUGAGGGGCGCCUGGGUGGCUCAGUCGGUUAAGCGUCCGGCUUUGGCUCGGGUCAUGAUCUCACAGUCCGUGAGUUCGAGCCCCGUGUCGGGCUCUGGGCUGACAGCUCGGAGCCUGGAGCCUGUUUCAGAUUCUGUGUCUCCCUCUCUCUCUCUCUGACCCUCCCCUGUUCAUGCUCUGUCUCUCUCUGUCUCAAAAAUAAAUAAACGUUAAAAAAAAAUUUUUUUUAAAUAAAUACUUUUGAGAAGUCGCAAAUAAACAUUUUAAGAGAUCCAAAAGCA
This is a long non-coding RNA of Neofelis nebulosa (Clouded leopard), 2612 nucleotides long. RefSeq lists it as uncharacterized. Lineage: Eukaryota; Metazoa; Chordata; Mammalia; Carnivora; Felidae. The record is from RefSeq and is a predicted model, not a curated record. The transcript is spliced from 2 exons.